Molecule: non-coding RNA, 425 nt
Organism: Coturnix japonica (Japanese quail)
Lineage: Eukaryota; Metazoa; Chordata; Aves; Galliformes; Phasianidae
Source: RefSeq, a predicted model, not a curated record
AUACAUCUUUUAUUUAUCUCUCAUGUCUUCAUUGCUUGCAUCUGAUCUGUCAAGAAAAAGAUAAAUCUACUAUUAACUACAAGAAAUCUUUAUAUCCUCCCAGAAAGGAGAGACAACAGUUCUACUUUCCAGCAAAAACAGUUGCAGCUACUCUUCUGAUAAGGGCAUUUUGAGCUUGGUUAAGUUUUCUGUUUCAAUAUUUGGCUAACAGAUCUCUUGCGAAAAUUUUCAAGUCAUGGUCUACAUGAAAGCACUGUGUGUUUAAAAUAAAUUUCACAGCGAGUAUUGUAAUGUUUCUACUCCUUCCACAUAUAGCAGCACAGCAUUUUAUCUGGCUUAUUUAGUUUGUAUUACAUAAUGAGUGGCAUGAGAGUGCUAGAAUAUGAAUGUACAAAUUAACACCAAAAAAAGAGGAAGAAAGAAAA